This 471-nucleotide ribosomal RNA is filed under the name uncultured bacterium. Its description in RNAcentral is "bacterial SSU rRNA". It matches the Rfam family "Bacterial small subunit ribosomal RNA", at positions 28 to 519 of the family's 1533-position model. The record is from RNAcentral.
GACGAACGCUUGCGGCAUGCCUAAGAAAUGCAAGUCGAACGGACAGUGGCUUCGGUUACUGUUAGUGGCGAACGGUCGCGUAACACGUAAGAAACCUGCCUUGAAGCGGGGGAUAACAGUCCGAAAGGAUUGCUAAUACCGCAUGUGGCCAACGAGAGGCAUCUCCCGUUGUCUAAAGAUUUAUCACUUCAAGAUGGUCUUGCGGCCUAUCAGCUAGUUGGUGAGGUAACGGCUUACCAAGGCGACGACGGGUAGCUGGUCUGAGAGGACGAUCAGCCGGAUUGGGACUGAGAUACGGCCCAGACUCCUACGGGGGGCAGCAAUUAGGAAUCUUGCACAAUGGGCGAAAGCCUGAUGCAGCGACGCCGCGUGAAGGAUGAAGGUUCUCGGAUCGUAAACUUCUUUUAAGUGGGAAGAAAUUUGACGGUACCACUUGAAUAAGCCCCGGCUAACUACGUGCCAGCAGCCGCG